AGCGAACGCUGGCGGCAGGCCUAACACAUGCAAGUCGAACGAUCCUUUCGGGGUUAGUGGCGGACGGGUGAGUAACACGUGGGAACGUGCCUUUAGGUUCGGAAUAACUCAGGGAAACUUGUGCUAAUACCGAAUGUGCCCUUCGGGGGAAAGAUUAAUCGCCUUUAGAGCGGCCCGCGUCUGAUUAGCUAGUUGGUUGAGGUAAUGGCUCACCAAGGCGACGAUCAGUAGCUGGUCUGAGAGGAUGAUCAGCCACAUUGGGACUGAGACACGGCCCAAACUCCUACGGGAGGCAGCAGUGGGGAAUCUUGCGCAAUGGGCGAAAGCCUGACGCAGCCAUGCCGCGUGAAUGAUGAAGGUCUUAGGAUUGUAAAAUUCUUUCACCGGGGACGAUAAUGACGGUACCCGGAGAAGAAGCCCCGGCUAACUUCGUG
This 434-nucleotide ribosomal RNA is filed under the name uncultured bacterium. RNAcentral describes it as "partial 16S ribosomal RNA". It matches the Rfam family "Bacterial small subunit ribosomal RNA", at positions 29 to 507 of the family's 1533-position model. The record is from RNAcentral.